UCUCUGUCUACUUUUCUUACUCCAUGUAGGUUUUUCAAAGACUAUGGGUUGAGGAGGAAGUGGAAGCAGCUCUGAGGAGAGAGGGGUUUGCUGCAAAUGAUGAGUGGGUGCUCUGCAGUGAUCAUUUUAAACCUGAUGAGUUUGACAGGGCUGGGCAGGUCUGUCGGCUUAGACCUGGUGUCAUUCCAUCAGUGUUAAACUUCACGGCUCAUCUUGGAAGAGUACGUGCCAGAAAGACCACGACCAAGCAGCCUUGAGAUCUUAGACAGCAUCUCCCUGAGGUCCCUCUCUAUCUCCCCACACAUCCACCAACCACUGGAACACAUCUCCAAAGUUCUGCUGGGCCAGCUCAGCUUCCCCUCAGAAGAAGUGCUGCCAUCGUGCCAGAUGAAGGAGCCUUUUGAGAGGCAGCUGGCAUCAUGAUUGGACUGUACUUUGGUCUGUUCCAAUCCAGCUUCAGCUCCAGAGACGGCAGGCGGGACGAGUCAACGGAGGCCGGGUGGACGAAGGCAUGCAGCUGAGUACAAUCCAGAAAACAACAGAGGAGGAGUGCAGCGGCCCAGAGCCAGAACAACCAGAGUAGCAUCGUAUGUCUCUUAGAAAACAUCAUAGUAUAGCCUUUGGUAUGAAAAAACACCAUCAUAUACAUCAUAUAUUGUACAAGUAACAAGUCAAAGGAAAGAGACAUACAUUGUAGAAUUGUAGUAAUUGUGGGCUGACUGAUUUACUGAUUAUCAGUAUUUUAUUUUUUACUGAUUUACGGUAAUAAAUACAUUUAAAAAUGGCGCUA
This is a long non-coding RNA of Amphiprion ocellaris (clown anemonefish), 790 nucleotides long. RefSeq lists it as uncharacterized. NCBI's taxonomy places the organism in Eukaryota, Metazoa, Chordata, Actinopteri, Pomacentridae. The record is from RefSeq and is a predicted model, not a curated record. The transcript has 2 exons.